Molecule: transfer RNA, 72 nt
Filed under: Camelus bactrianus (Bactrian camel)
Lineage: Eukaryota; Metazoa; Chordata; Mammalia; Artiodactyla; Camelidae
Also listed under: 2 other names
Rfam family: tRNA
About the family: Transfer RNA (tRNA) molecules are approximately 80 nucleotides in length. Their secondary structure includes four short double-helical elements and three loops (D, anti-codon, and T loops).
Source: Rfam by way of RNAcentral
GAGGGUAUAGCUCAGCGGUAGAGCACAUGCUUAGCAUGCGCAAGGUCCUGGGUUCAAUUCCCAGUACCUUCA